CUAAUCCUGCUAGUUUCACCACAUUGCUGCUGUAUAGAGCAGGAGUUCAGCUCCCCACUGAGCCUGCUAUCAUCAGAGAAGUGAUUUCUGUUUUCAAAAGAUCACUCUGAUGCUGUGUUGCGUAUGGAUUGUCUUGGGACAAGCAAUAAUGCAGGAAAAUACAGGGAGAGGCGGCUGUCAGUCAAGUCCUGUUCAGAUGUGAUGCUCACAACUGUUGCAACCAUCCUGUAGGCAUGGGAGGAGAAGGUCCAAGGACAGCCCAGAGUCUUCUGAUGGUGGAGCAGAGGGGGUCUUGCUCUAUUCCUGAGGCUGGAGUUCAGUGGUG
Long non-coding RNA from Sapajus apella (tufted capuchin), 325 nucleotides. RefSeq lists it as uncharacterized. The transcript has 3 exons. The record is from RefSeq and is a predicted model, not a curated record. NCBI's taxonomy places the organism in Eukaryota, Metazoa, Chordata, Mammalia, Primates, Cebidae.